UCCAGACUCCUACGGGAGGCAGCAGUGGGGAAUAUUGCACAAUGGGGGAAACCCUGAUGCAGCGACGCCGCGUGAGCGAUGAAGUAUUUCGGUAUGUAAAGCUCUAUCAGCAGGGAAGAAAAUGACGGUACCUGACUAAGAAGCCCCGGCUAACUACGUGCCAGCAGCCGCGGUAAUACGUAGGGGGCAAGCGUUAUCCGGAUUUACUGGGUGUAAAGGGAGCGUAGACGGCGAUGCAAGUCUGAAGUGAAAGGCGGGGGGCCAACCCCCGGACUGCUUUGGAAACUGUAUGGCUGGAGUGCAGGAGAGGUAAGUGGAAUUCCUAGUGUAGCGGUGAAAUGCGUAGAUAUUAGGAGGAACACCAGUGGCGAAGGCGGCUUACUGGACUGUAACUGACGUUGAGGCUCGAAAGCGUGGGGAGCAAGCAGGAUUAGAUACCCUUGUGGC
Molecule: ribosomal RNA, 447 nt
Filed under: uncultured bacterium
Lineage: Bacteria
Description: bacterial SSU rRNA
Rfam family: Bacterial small subunit ribosomal RNA
Source: RNAcentral